CGGAGAGUUUGAUCCUGGCUCAGGACGAACGCUGGCGGCGUGCUUAACACAUGCAAGUCGAGCGGACCGACGCCGUCUCUUCGGAGACGGGAUAGGUUAGCGGCGAACGGGUGAGUAACACGUGGGUAAUCUGCCCCAAAGAUUGGGAUAACUCCGGGAAACCGGGGCUAAUACCGGAUCCCUUGCCGGGACCGCAUGAUCCUGGCAAGAAAGGUCGUCUUCGGACUUCCGCUUUGGGAUGAGCCCGCGGCCCAUUAGCUUGUUGGUGAGGUAACGGCUCACCAAGGCGACGAUGGGUAGCCGGCCUGAGAGGGUGUCCGGCCACACUGGGACUGAGAUACGGCCCAGACUCCUACGGGAGGCAGCAGUGAGGAAUAUUGCGCAAUGGGCGAAAGCCUGACGCAGCGACGCCGCGUGGACGAUGAAGGCCUUCGGGUUGUAAAGUCCUGUCAGGAGGGACGAAGCGGUACUUGUACCGUGACGGUACCUCGGUAGGAAGCUCCGGCUAACUACGUGCCAGCAGCCGCGGUAAGACGUAGGGGGCUAGCGUUGUCCGGAAUUACUGGGCGUAAAGAGCUCGUAGGCGGUUUGUUAAGUUGGGUGUGAAAGCCCUCGGCUCAACCGAGGAAUUGCACUCGAUACUGGCAGGCUAGAGUCUAGUAGAGGGAAGUGGAAUUCCCGGUGUAGCGGUGAAAUGCGCAGAUAUCGGGAAGAACACCGGUGGCGAAGGCGGCUUCCUGGGCUAUGACUGACGCUGAGGAGCGAAAGCUAGGGGAGCGAACAGGAUUAGAUACCCUGGUAGUCCUAGCUGUAAACGAUGGGCACUAGGUGUGGGGGGUUACCAACUCCCUCCGUGCCGAAGCUAACGCAUUAAGUGCCCCGCCUGGGGAGUACGGCCGCAAGGCUAAAACUCAAAGGAAUUGACGGGGGCCCGCACAAGCGGCGGAGCAUGUGGCUUAAUUCGACGCAACGCGAAGAACCUUACCAGGGUUUGACAUGCACUUGAAAGUCAUGGAAACAUGGCCCUCCUUCGGGACGGGUGCACAGGUGGUGCAUGGCUGUCGUCAGCUCGUGUCGUGAGAUGUUGGGUUAAGUCCCGCAACGAGCGCAACCCUUAUCGCAUGUUGCCAUCAGGUUAUGCUGGGAACUCAUGCGAGACUGCCGGUGUCAAACCGGAGGAAGGUGGGGAUGACGUCAAGUCAUCAUGCCCCUUAUGCCCUGGGCUGCACACGUGCUACAAUGGCUGGUACAGAGGGCUGCGAUACCGCGAGGUGGAGCGAAUCCCAAAAAGCCAGUCUAAGUUCGGAUUGGAGGCUGCAACUCGCCUUCAUGAAGUCGGAGUCGCUAGUAAUCGCGAAUCAGCAACGUCGCGGUGAAUACGUUCCCGGGCCUUGUACACACCGCCCGUCACACCACGAAAGUCGGCAACACCCGAAGCCGGUGGGCUAACCCCUUUGGGGAGGCAGCUGUCGAAGGUGGGGUCGGCGAUUGGGGUGAAGUCGUAACAAGGUAGCCGUACCGGAAGGUGCGGCUGGAUCACCUCCUUUCUAGGGA
RNAcentral lists this ribosomal RNA (1554 nucleotides) under Candidatus Solincola sediminis. Its description in RNAcentral is "bacterial SSU rRNA". It matches the Rfam family "Bacterial small subunit ribosomal RNA". Lineage: Bacteria; Bacillati; Actinomycetota; Candidatus Geothermincolia; Candidatus Geothermincolales; Candidatus Geothermincolaceae. The record is from RNAcentral.